GACCUCCGGAUUGCAAGUCGAGUCGCACGCUCUUACCGCUAGCCCACCAGCGCUAUGGGCUAGCCCAAGGGAGUUAUGGAUUGUGAAAAAAAGCUAUAACUCCCCAGGGAGUUAUAGUUUUCUUUUUCAAAUUCUGUCACUAAUUCAUACGAAUAAUGUAGGUUUACCUUUAAAAUACUGAUAUUUCUAAUUCAAUAUUUUUGUUUAUGUUUAAUAAAUUAAAUUCAUUAUUUUAAUAGCCGUUUAAAAUAUUUUUACACAAUUUUCAAUCGUGGCUGAAUGCCAGAUAGGUCUGUGCUUACGAUGCCUAACAAUGUCAAUAUGGCGGAUGAAUGUUUGAAACAUCACCGUAUUUAAGAAUAAUUUCGCUAAUUUUUUUUUCUUAACAACUGUGAUGAAAAAUAUUGUGUGGAACACCGGGGGUAAGAAUAUUGCAAACUUGGGUCUUUAAUUCCCUCCAGCUUGCGGCUGUCGGGAAUUAUCACCCUCGUGUCCAAUAUUUAACUUACCCCACCUUGUUGCACAAUGUACUAAAUUCUUUUAAGUACCUGUCAUUCAAGAUCAGCAUGAAAUGUACAAUCUACCAGCUAGCAUGGAAAAACAACUUAAGACGUGUGGUGUAUUACAGUCACUGUCACUCUCAAGGGUAAAAUGAAAUAAAUAAAGCUAAGAAGCUUUUUAGGCAGGUGUGUGGUAUCAAGUUGUGUCUCAGCUGUAAAAAUCUUAGAUGGUUGGCAGUCCUCAACUGUGCGUUUCUCCAGAAACUUCCUGCCUCGCACAGCUAAACUGUGGAAUGAACUGUCGCCUGCGGUAUUUCCGGAGCGAUACGACCUUCAAACAUUCAAGAAAAAAGCGUACUCCCAUCUUAAAGUCCGGCAACGCACUUACAACCCCUCUGGUGUUGCAGGUGUCCAUGGGCGGUGGUAAUCGCUUACCAUCAGGUGAUCCGUCUGAUCGCUUUCCUCCUGUAACAUAAAAAAAAAUCGAGUUGGAAAAAUCGAUCUAAGUCAAUGCAAUCAAAUUAUCCUACGUAUGUUUGUGUCGCAUAUUUCAUACAAAGAUCCAAAUUAUAAAACCUAAAUGUGCUUCUCGCUGACGGAAACCAAGAAUAAGUCAUGAGAAAUACGAGUAACUUCAGGUUGCUACACCUUGUUUUUAUUGAAUUCCGUUAACUCCGGGGUAUGGGGUUAUGGGUAUGUACGUUUAAGGAACCUAAUACCAUAGUUAAUUUAAAAAAAAAUAUAUAAAAAGUAAUUAAAUGUUGCAUAUAGCGUUAUUAUAACACGGGCAUUACAUUUAAAUAAACCAAACAAUUGAGAAAUGUGACAUAUCAAUGUCAUUUCGAACAACAAUCGUCCGAGAUAGUAUUUACGUUUAGUAGCAAAUGUACACACUCGUACUAAACACUGGUCAAUAUGUAAACAGGCCCUAAGGUAAGUGCAUACGCUCGUAAGUGCCUUAUGAGGUAAAAAUAAAUUAUUGAUUAUCUCCGAAAUGGAGUUAACUAGAAUAACGGUGUCUUUGAGAAAGUUACUUAAUUUAAGCUCAGAAAUGCACCCUUCAAAUUAACGGAAAAAACACGUUGUAUAUUAUAAAAUAAAUUACAAGUAAAAUAACAAAAACCAAUAACUGUACAUCAGUAUACUUAUUUGACGACAAAGUUAUCUAUGCAGUUUGUAACCAUGACGGUGUAUGGGAAUAACCUGCAAGGUUAAUGUUGUACUACUCUUUAUUGGCACACCUCAGUAAAAAGAUACAAAAGACCCACCUUACCUACCUUGUACCUUGAUACAAAAAAUAUUAUCAUAUUCCUAAAAGUACUUAUUCGUUGCAUCAGUAGGGCCGGCAAAUUCUCAAAUAACACAGGUAGUCUGACACAUGUUAUUAUUAAGAGUAACAUGUUAUUACCAACAAAAGGUAGGUACUUACUAACGUAUUGCUGAAUCACUCCCAAAAGUCCAGUAAUUCCGAAAUCAGACUCUAAAUAUAAAAUUAAAACCAAAUGAGUUGAGUGUCUUAAAAUACAAGCUUAUAAAAGUUUUGACCAAAAAAAUAAGUCAUUAAAUACAAAACUGUUCCAAUUUCAAAAGAUUAAAACCGAGUCAUCCUCGCGUUUCCCCCGUCGAGAAUCUCUUUCGCCGCCGCACGAAAUUUAUGAAAUUUAAAAAAGUUUUCUCCUAGCGGGGAAAAAUGUGAUUAAAUAUGUUUUGUUCAAGAGCAAGACAUUAAAGCGAUGUUAAGGGUGUGAUAAUGAGGGCGUUGAUAAGCGUUUAUUAGCCGGCGAGCGGCGAUCCCGAGAACGGCUCCCGUGGCGAGCGCUAUCUGGGGGAGUUAAAUCAUUUUAACGUAGUUUGCGAUGAAGACUUUUACGAAAAAAUGUGUUGUGACCUUAUAUUUUGGCUUUUAAAUUGCUUGCCUGUUGUAAUUAUAUUUUGUAUUACCAAUUUAGAUCUUAUUUUUGAAAGGUGAUCGAAGUAGUAUCACAAAUAGGCGGUAGGUACGAGUAAUACCUACCUACAUUGAGGUAGGCAGUAGCAUCAUCGUCAUCAUCCUCUUGUACAAAGAGAGGAGGCCUUGGGCCUUGGUCCAGCAAGCAGUAGAAAUGUGUGAUUAGGUAAGCAAAAACGAAAUUUCACUUUUUACUAUUUAAACACAGAUACUUACUAAUACAUGUUAAAAGGCGAAUCUACUAAGUAUAGAUAGACAAACACGUUUCUGGUGAUCUCUAAGGUACCUACCACUGCAGAAGUAGAAAUUCUUUUCGCGCACUAAUUGUUAAAAAAAGUACAAAAUAUUUGCAUCAUCUGGCACAGUUUCUGAAAGUUGGACAAGUUCAAUUUCAAUAUGAGAUAUGUCGUUUGGAUCACGGUAUUAGCGCGGGAUAAUCUAACGGCUAUAACAACAGCACCACGGCGAUCAAGGGCGACUCCGACGUGCGCCGCUCACAUCAUCGAGCCACGAGUUCCGAUGGAUGUGUCCAUUUUUUUUUUCGAAUAAAUGUGACCGCGGCGGGCAAAACAUCCCAUUUUGUCGUUUUCCAUAAGGACGCCUUGACAGGUUAUUCGUAUAGAAAUCAAGCAAACCUCGUCAUUAUCGCAAGCGACAAAUUGGGACGUUAUGCCGGCCGCGGUCACAAAUAUGGACGACGCUUUUGAUAUCAAGUAGAAAACCUCCGUGAGACUAAAAACACAAAAAAAUGAUAGGUCAAAUUAUAUAUCGGCAUGUGUGGAUCCAUUUCACGGAUCGUUAUCAAAGAGCUCUGUGUAACCGAAGUAAGUAAUAUUACUUAAUUUAGUAUUUGAGUUUGUUCGAAACGUAACUUCCGAGAACCUGUGUUCAAUAGGUAAAAUGGUAAAUCCUACUUAGAUAUACCUUCUGCGAUCUGCUUAGUUCUGAGUAAACAGCGUGUAUCUUCUUCCCCGUGUUGUUCCGGCAUUUUGCCAUGGCUUAUGGAAGCAUGGGCCCUAGGCUUGACAACUAAUACCCAUAGUUUUUUACGAAGUGACUGCCAUCUGACCUUCCAACCCAGAGGGUAACCUAACUUUAUUGGGAUUAGUCCGGUUUCCUCACUAUGUUUUCAUCACCAAAAAGCGACUGGUAAAUAUCAAAUGAUAUUUCGUACAUAAGUUCCGAAAAAUUCAUUGAUACGAGCCGGGGUUUGAACCAGCGACCUCCAGAUUGAAAGUCACACAUCGCAGUCGCACCACUAGGCCACCAGCGCUUCCAAGUUGUAAAGGUCAGAUUAAUUUUUUGAGUUAUGGAAUAUUAAGGGAAUAUUUGUUUACUUUGUUCGUCUUAAUAAGGUAAAAUAUUUCUAGUUAUGCGUGAAGGUUAUAUAGCAUUUAAUUAUGAGUUUCAUUUAUUUUAACUAAAGCUAGAGGAUGGCCUCUGGCAACAUGCUAAUACCUGUUUUAGGAAUUCCACCAGAAUUCAUGUCUUACGUAGGUAUUUGUUUUUGGCGGAACAAAAUAAGGUCAUAUGCGUAUCUGGUAAAAACACUUCUGGCCUUCGCGUAUAUAAAUUAUGCGUAGGUAAUUUGCUUUUCUGGUGAUAUGUGUCUGAAUAGUAGUUUAUGUGACUGCUACAUAAUAAAAGGCAUUAAAAUACACGAGUAUGGGUUUAAGAGUCGAACGAAGUGAGUUCCUUAGUAGGAUCACACGAGUGUUUUAAUGCCUAAUUAUGUACAGUUACAUACACUAUUUUAUCUACAUACACAUUAUAAACUUUCUAUGAUAUAUUAACUAACCCAAAUUAUAGGGCAACGUUGCUCUCUUGGCGGAGCUCGCGGAUAUGUGGUGGCGUCACCGAAAUAUUUUUAUCGCUCAUUUUACACGAAACUUUUGCUAUAGUUACUUUAAAAACAACAAAACAUAUUAUUUUUUUACUUAAAACUAAUUAAUAGAUAAACUGUACGUCAAAUGGCGGCAAAUGAAAACUUUUUUCACGCAUGUCAUGCAUUCGUAGCUUUUUUUAAAUUCAGAGACAAACUAGAGUCGAGGGGCCUAUUUCCGUAUCAUUCGAUACAAACUAACAUGCGAGAUACGUCAAAAAUGUAUCUAAUUGACAUUUCAUUUCGAAUAAAAAGGCAUCUCGGCUGAUAUUAGAAUAGAGGUCAAAUGUAAUUGCUUUUUUUUCACAGAUGUUUCAAAUUUGAAAUCAUAACCAAAUCGAUUUUGAUGUAGUUAUGAAGCAAUUAGAACAUAAGAAAUUUGUUGUAACAAAACAGUUUAUCGUAAUGUUCGCCAUUAUUUACGGAUUUUGAAGGCAUCAUCGAGGGUUUAUGAUAGUCAAUGGCGCCAUUCAUUUUCAAAAUAACAAAUAUCAAUGAAAAAUUAAACUAAGCAGCGCUUUGGCUCUUGUUUAUGGUAAAAUGUUGCCAGCGAUUAAAAACUGAUGACGUGACCGGGCGCGCCGCGGGGAAACGUGGUCGGCUUUUUGAACCGACGUCUGACGUCAUGGAUGGAUGUAAUCAGUAACAGGCGCGGAACGAUCAAUUUGAGUUCCUGGAGGAUAAGUAUCUAUAAUGGAAGACUUGUUAUCACCCCAUUACAUUUGUUUUAAGAACUAGCUUUAAGAAUAUUUUUGAAGUAUAUACUUGCUAUACCCUGUCCGGGUCCAUGUGAUACUUUAAUCUUUUGUAACAACAUAUGUACCAUGGUUUGCAAUAAAGGAAAAUAAAAUAAAAAUAAAAUAAAGCGAAACGUAUAAACCUUGAAUAUAUUAUGCUGAAGCGAUUGAUAUGAAAAUCAAAGUGAUUUGUUAAGAUUUAUUUCGUGGAAACCGUUUUCCCUCGAUAAUUACCUAUAUUUCAGUAGAUUCGAAAAGCUAUUUAGUCUUCCUUACAUAUGCAUUGACAGUUUUAGCCACAGCUCGGUGUAGAGAGCGUAGGAUCGGCGAGAUCCAGCGUGCAAACAUUUAAAUUAAUGUAAUAAAGAGGCGCGAAAUGCGCGGCUUUCGGGGAUCCGUGGAUUAGCGUCGCGUGUUGGUGGGUAGGUACAUACCUAUGUACUGCUUGUGUGCGGAGUGCCGAGCGGCGGGCGGAAAACGAGCGGCCUAUAAUUGAUGGCUAAAUAAGUAUUUUAAAUUACAACUAAUUAUUUUCCAUCGUAAUUUCACGGAAAUGUACGAACGUAUCUUGCUAUUUCAGUCAGUCUUAGUAUAAAAAGUACUGUGGUUGACUGGAGUAGCAUGACAAAUACGAACGUUUCCUAGAAAAUACCAUACCAUAUUGUUCAUUGGUUGAACCAUAGGUCCAAAAAAUAUGAAAAAAAUCUUGGAAGUAGAGCUUAAGAAAGACAUUAGAUGAAAACUAUAGCGGAUAUGAUCAGUUUAGCUGUUUUUGAGUUAUCGCAAAAAGUUUCCCCUUCAUAGUAAAAAGACGUACACCCACAGUUCAUCCCUUGGUUAACAAUCUACCAUACUUUAAGCUUCAGUUUAGCUUAUUGUGACGGAAGAGUAACUACGGAACCCUACUCUGAGCAUGGCCCGACAUGCUCUUGGCCGGUUUUAAAGACUAGAAUUAUGUAGGUAACUUUAAAACGACUAAGAGCCGUAAAAUCAUGAGCAGUAUGUUUAUCAAAUUGUCAAACAACUACCUACGUAAAACCUUUUUUUUGGGAUCAGUGUGUGUGAUAGUGAUGUAGACUAUGAACUUAGAUAGUAGGUAGUAGUAGUAGGUACAUUUUAGAAAGCCAUACAGUUAAUCGAAACUUACAUUUUCAUCACAUUACGGAAACUGCUUUACUGAUUUUAACCUAACGAGGCGACGAGCUCGUUAGAGUAUAGGUAGGUGCAAGGUACUAAUGGUCAAUAAGUGAUCAGGAUGGAAUCGGCAAAUUGGCCGGUUGCGUAUAAAUCUGGCCGCUGUCGCCGAGGCUUAGGAGUAAGCCCGCCCCUGAUAAUGGGGUUAACACGUCGCCGCGACUUAAAACUCGUUCCCCAGCGCUAUUUACGACACCGCCACCGCAUAAGUUAGCCGGCCGACUUCAUAUUUCAUUAACCGUGAUAUCGGUGGUACACGUAAGUAAAGGACUGCACAAGCACUUGAAACAUCUUAUUACUUGUAAUGCAAACCUUUUCAUAAGCAAUGAAUGAUAAUUUUUUAGUAGUUUCACUUUCAUCAACGACUAAAAUAUUUUUACUACAGCCGUU
Long non-coding RNA from Cydia pomonella (codling moth), 6651 nucleotides. RefSeq lists it as uncharacterized. NCBI's taxonomy places the organism in Eukaryota, Metazoa, Arthropoda, Insecta, Lepidoptera, Tortricidae. The transcript has 4 exons. The record is from RefSeq and is a predicted model, not a curated record.